RNAcentral lists this long non-coding RNA (466 nucleotides) under Marmota monax (woodchuck). The record is from RNAcentral. Lineage: Eukaryota; Metazoa; Chordata; Mammalia; Rodentia; Sciuridae.
GUAACUUCUGAUUCUACAAAUGUGGCAAAUUUUUGCUCUGAAAUUGCUACACCACAGGAAUUAACUCCAAGGUUGGAAGAUGCAGGCCAAGAGACAAAGACUCAUUUGCUGUGGACCUGCAGGGUGGGGGCGGGGUAGCCCAAGAGUGUGUGCAGAGGUGAAAGAAAGUAGAGGGUGGUCUGAAGGGGGAUAAGGAACAGACUCAGAGAACACAGGAAAUAAUUAACUUGAAAGCCUGACAGAGAAUGAAAGACUACAUGAGGGUUUCAAGAAGGGAAGGUGAGCUCACAGUGGCUCAAGGUCCACACAGAAAACUGCUAACAGAUGCUGAACUCAAGAUUGCAGGACAAAUGCUUAGAAAAAGCACUGGCUUGGUUUCAGGGCAGCAGGGGAAAUGCCAAAUGUAAUUUAAUGUAGUGACAUGUAACCCAUACUUCCUGAGAAUAAUUAUUAAAACUCUGCAAAA